ACAUAUUGUAUUAGUGAAGGCGUUGGCAGUAUUUGUCGCAACACGUCGUGGCGAGAGUAUUGCAAUUUUUCAGGUUUUUACGACCGUUAAAACUUUUCGACAGCAAUAUGCCAGUAAAGGUUAAGAUCACCUAUUGUGGUGGAUGAGGGUACAGGCCCAAGUUUGAGAAGAUCAAAAAAGAGAUCCUCGAAGAGUUUGAUGACACAGAAGUAGAAGUGGAAGGAUAUGGAACACCAGGAGUAACAGGUUAUUUGGAAGUAGAGGUGGCUGGUAAACUUGUUCAUUCCAAAAAGGGUGGUGAUGGAUAUGUGGACUCUGGAAGCAAAAUGGAGAAGAUUCUGGAGGCAAUACGCAAAGCCCAGCCUUGAUGGUCCACUGCAUGUGCAAGGAAAAUGUGUACAGUCAAGUUCGAAUCAGCUGUUUGUUCCAGAUGGAUGACCUUGAAUGAUGGGAGCAGCUUAAAAUCGUUAAAACGUUUGGCUGACUUCUUGAUGAAGUUUAGUGAUUUCAUCUGGCGGCACUGUGGAAAACCAACUGUGCAUGUUAUUCCUCUUUAUUCAGUUAAUUAACUUCUGAGUAAUAAUUUUCCUGUUUUUUGAGAUGUAAACAAGCUAUAAUGUUUGUGUCGUUAGUGACUACACUGAUCGUUUUGGUCAAAUGUUUUACACCAAUGUGAAAAUCUCUUUCUUUUUUUCUUGUUGAACUAAUUAAACAAAGUUGUUUACGUUUA
This is a long non-coding RNA of Pocillopora verrucosa, 730 nucleotides long. RefSeq lists it as uncharacterized. The record is from RefSeq and is a predicted model, not a curated record. Lineage: Eukaryota; Metazoa; Cnidaria; Anthozoa; Scleractinia; Pocilloporidae.